GGUUUAUAUUUUGUUAGUAGUUACCCCUUAUAUCAUCUUUUGUAUUUGAUGAUUUAAAAUGUUGAUGUAUUAAGCAAAGAAAGAAAAGAAUGUAAAGCUCUCUUUUUAGGUAAAUGAGAUGUAAGAAAGAAAUGAUGUAGUGAUGUAAUGAAAUGUAAGGAAGUUGAAAAUGUUCAAGUUAGACUUAAUGUAUAUGAUCUAAAUUGAA
Molecule: long non-coding RNA, 208 nt
Filed under: Ananas comosus (pineapple)
Lineage: Eukaryota; Viridiplantae; Streptophyta; Magnoliopsida; Poales; Bromeliaceae
Description: long non-coding RNA (ACOM_LNC024289)
Source: RNAcentral